Triticum aestivum (bread wheat) is the source of this 115-nucleotide non-coding RNA. The record is from Rfam. Lineage: Eukaryota; Viridiplantae; Streptophyta; Magnoliopsida; Poales; Poaceae.
UUUAUACUCCCUCCGUUCGGAAUUACUUGUCUUGAAAAUGAAUGUUUCUAGAACUAAAAUACGUCUAGAUACGUCAAUUUUCAUGACAAGUAAUUCUGAACGGAAGGAGUACGUU